RNAcentral lists this unclassified non-coding RNA (336 nucleotides) under Melitaea cinxia (Glanville fritillary). Its description in RNAcentral is "misc RNA ENSMCXG00005021451.1". The record is from RNAcentral. Lineage: Eukaryota; Metazoa; Arthropoda; Insecta; Lepidoptera; Nymphalidae.
CUUUGAUUCCUCAUUGAAUAAUAUGUCACACGAUAGGUGCGUUAGGGGAUCAGGGGGGAGAAUUAAACUUCUUCUUACAGGUGACGGCGGUUGAAAAGAGCAGUAGUGUCAUGUCCGCCAUAUUUUUUACUUCGCGUGGUGUUCUCUUAAAAGUUUGUAUUUCAGUAAUUGAGAAGAUAUUUUUCGCCCAAAAUGCCGCCAAGACAAAUUUAUCCUCCAGAGAAGCUCUCUUCCACCAUCGAAGCAAUACGAAACGGAAUGCCGAUAAGGGAGGCUAGUAGAACGUUUGGAAUUCUUGGAGGCACACUGCAAGAUCGGCUCCAUCUACGUGUCCCA